AUUGAACGCUGGCGGAAUGCUUUACACAUGCAAGUCGAACGGCAGCAUAGGUGCUUGCACCUGAUGGCGAGUGGCGAACGGGUGAGUAAUACAUCGGAACGUGCCCAGUCGUGGGGGAUAACGUAGCGAAAGUUACGCUAAUACCGCAUACGAUCUAAGGAUGAAAGCGGGGGACCGUAAGGCCUCGCGCGAUUGGAGCGGCCGAUGUCAGAUUAGGUAGUUGGUGAGGUAAAGGCUCCCCAAGCCGACGAUCUGGAGCUGGUCUGAGAGGACGACCAGCCACACUGGGACUGAGACACGGCCCAGACUCCUACGGGAGGCAGCAGUGGGGAAUUUUGGACAAUGGACGCAAGUCUGAUCCAGCCAUUCCGCGUGCAGGACGAAGGCCUUCGGGUUGUAAACUGCUUUUGUACGGAACGAAAAAGCUCUUACUAGUACUAGGAGUCCAUGACGGUACCGUAAGAAUAAGCACCGGCUAACUACGUGCCAGCCGCCGCCGUAA
Molecule: ribosomal RNA, 502 nt
Filed under: uncultured bacterium
Lineage: Bacteria
Description: partial 16S ribosomal RNA
Rfam family: Bacterial small subunit ribosomal RNA
Source: RNAcentral